CGCGGUAAAACCAGCACCUCAAGUGGUCAGGAUGAUUAUUGGGCCUAAAGCAUCCGUAGCCGGCUCUGUAAGUUUUCGGUUAAAUCUGUACGCUUAACGUACAGGCUGCCGGGAAUACUGCAAAGCUAGGGAGUGGGAGAAGUAGACGGUACUCGGUAGGAAGUGGUAAAAUGCUUUGAUCUAUCGAUGACCACCUGUGGCGAAGGCGGUCUACUAGAACACGUCCGACGGUGAGGGAUGAAAGCUGGGGGAGCAAACCGGAUUAGAUACCCGGGUAGUCCCAGCUGUAAACUAUGCAAACUCAGUGAUGCAUUGGCUUGUGGCCAAUGCAGUGCUGCAGGGAAGCCGUUAAGUUUGCCGCCUGGGAAGUACGUACGCAAGUAUGAAACUUAAAGGAAUUGGCGGGGGAGCAC
RNAcentral lists this ribosomal RNA (413 nucleotides) under uncultured archaeon. RNAcentral's name for it is "bacterial SSU rRNA". It matches the Rfam family "Archaeal small subunit ribosomal RNA", at positions 466 to 879 of the family's 1478-position model. The record is from RNAcentral.